Molecule: long non-coding RNA, 274 nt
Filed under: Mus spicilegus (steppe mouse)
Lineage: Eukaryota; Metazoa; Chordata; Mammalia; Rodentia; Muridae
Description: lncRNA (ENSMSIG00000021823.1)
Source: RNAcentral
CAGCAUUCAAUAUGACCUCAGGAGGAUGCAUCAUAGAAUUCUAGAACCACCAUCCCAGAGCAUGUGAAUGUUAUCUUAAUGUGGGUACCGACCAGGCAUCAUGGAAGACAAAAACCAUAAACCAGCACAGUGGGUUCAGAUGGAUUCAUUCAACAUCCAUUGAAUAUUUACUCCAAAGAAGGCUUGAACUUCAAGAUCUAACAGCAUGCCUCCUCUGCAGCUCCUACCUCCAUAUAGUUAGAUGAAAUGACCAGCAAGUCUCCAAAAGUAUGAA